GACAGAGGGUGCAAACGUUGUUCGGAAUUACUGGGCGUAAAGCGAGUGUAGGCGGUUUGGUAAGUCGGAUGUGAAAGCCCCGGGCUCAACCCGGGAAGUGCACUCGAUACUGCCAAGCUAGAGUAUCGGAGAGGUUGGUGGAAUUCUCGGUGUAGAGGUGAAAUUCGUAGAUAUCGAGAGGAACACCGGUGGCGAAGGCGGCCAACUGGACAGAUACUGACGCUGAGACACGAAAGCGUGGGGAGCAAACAGG
This 253-nucleotide ribosomal RNA is filed under the name uncultured bacterium. RNAcentral describes it as "partial 16S ribosomal RNA". It matches the Rfam family "Bacterial small subunit ribosomal RNA", at positions 524 to 776 of the family's 1533-position model. The record is from RNAcentral.